Molecule: ribosomal RNA, 468 nt
Filed under: uncultured bacterium
Lineage: Bacteria
Description: partial 16S ribosomal RNA
Rfam family: Bacterial small subunit ribosomal RNA
Source: RNAcentral
GACGAACGCUGGCGGCGUGCUUAACACAUGCAAGUCGAACGGAAAGGCCCUGCUUUUGUGGGGUGCUCGAGUGGCGAACGGGUGAGUAACACGUGAGUAAUCUGCCCUUGACUUUGGGAUAACUUCAGGAAACUGGGGCUAAUACCGGAUAGGAGCUCCUGCUGCAUGGUGGGGGUUGGAAAGUUUCGGCGGUUGGGGAUGUACUCGCGGCUUAUCAGCUUGUUGGUGGGGUAGUGGCUUACCAAGGCUUUGACGGGUAGCCGGCCUGAGAGGGUGACCGGCCACAUUGGGACUGAGAUACGGCCCAGACUCCUACGGGAGGCAGCAGUGGGGAAUAUUGCACAAUGGGCGGAAGCCUGAUGCAGCAACGCCGCGUGCGGGAUGACGGCCUUCGGGUUGUAAACCGCUUUCGCCUGUGACGAAGCGUGAGUGACGGUAAUGGGUAAAGAAGCACCGGCUAACUACGUG